GAGUUUGAUCCUGGCUCAGGAUGAACGCUGGCGGCAUGCCUAAUACAUGCAAGUCGAACGAGAGGAAGGAAAGCUUGCUUUCCUGAAUCUAGUGGCGAACGGGUGAGUAACACGUAGGUAACCUGCCCAUGUGCCCGGGAUAACUUCUGGAAACGGAUGCUAAAACCGGAUAGGUAGCAGACAAGCAUUUGACUGCUAUUAAAGUGGCCUUGGCCAUGAACAUGGAUGGACCUGCGGUGCAUUAGCUGGUUGGUGAGGUAACGGCCCACCAAGGCGACGAUGCAUAGCCGGCCUGAGAGGGCGGACGGCCACAUUGGGACUGAGACACGGCCCAAACUCCUACGGGAGGCAGCAGUAGGGAAUUUUCGUCAAUGGGGGGAACCCUGAACGAGCAAUGCCGCGUGAGUGAGGAAGGUCUUCGGAUCGUAAAGCUCUGUUGUAAGAGAAAAACGGCACUCAUAGGGAAUGAUGAGUGAGUGAUGGUAUCUUACCAGAAAGUCACGGCUAACUACGUGCCAGCAGCCGCGGUAAUACGUAGGUGGCGAGCGUUAUCCGGAAUGAUUGGGCGUAAAGGGUGCGUAGGUGGCAGAUCAAGUCUGGAGUAAAAGGUAUGGGCUCAACCCGUACUGGCUCUGGAAACUGAUCAGCUAGAGAACAGAAGAGGACGGCGGAACUCCAUGUGUAGCGGUAAAAUGCGUAGAUAUAUGGAAGAACACCGGUGGCGAAGGCGGCCGUCUGGUCUGGAUUCUGACACUGAAGCACGAAAGCGUGGGGAGCAAAUAGGAUUAGAUACCCUAGUAGUCCACGCCGUAAACGAUGAGAACUAGGUGUUGGGGGAAUAACUCAGUGCCGCAGUUAACGCAGUAAGUUCUCCGCCUGGGGAGUAUGCACGCAAGUGUGAAACUCAAAGGAAUUGACGGGGGCCCGCACAAGCGGUGG
This 939-nucleotide ribosomal RNA is filed under the name human gut metagenome. RNAcentral's name for it is "bacterial SSU rRNA". It matches the Rfam family "Bacterial small subunit ribosomal RNA", at positions 9 to 935 of the family's 1533-position model. The record is from RNAcentral.